Molecule: ribosomal RNA, 446 nt
Filed under: uncultured bacterium
Lineage: Bacteria
Description: bacterial SSU rRNA
Rfam family: Bacterial small subunit ribosomal RNA
Source: RNAcentral
GCCAGACUCCUACGGGAGGCAGCAGUGGGGAAUAUUGCGCAAUGGGGGCAACCCUGACGCAGCAACGCCGCGUGAUUGAAGAAGGCCUUCGGGUUGUAAAGAUCUUUAAUCAGGGACGAAAAAUGACGGUACCUGAAGAAUAAGCUCCGGCUAACUACGUGCCAGCAGCCGCGGUAAUACGUAGGUGGCAAGCGUUGUCCGGAAUCAUUGGGCGUAAAGAGUUCGUAGGUGGCACGUUAAGUCUGGUGUUAAAUGCAGAGGCUCAACCUCUGUUCGGCACUGGAUACUGGCGAGCUUGAAUGCGGUAGAGGUAAAGGGAAUUCCUGGUGUAGCGGUGAAAUGCGUAGAUAUCAGGAGGAACAUCGGUGGCGUAAGCGCUUUACUGGGCCGUAAUUGACACUGAGGAACGAAAGCCAGGGUAGCAAAUGGGAUUAGAUACCCUAGUA